RNAcentral lists this long non-coding RNA (1465 nucleotides) under Citrus x clementina. RNAcentral's name for it is "Citrus clementina (C. clementina) long non-coding RNA (CCLE_LNC001989)". The record is from RNAcentral. Lineage: Eukaryota; Viridiplantae; Streptophyta; Magnoliopsida; Sapindales; Rutaceae.
UUUUUUAAAAAAUUAUAUAAUAUAUUAAUAUAUCAUAAAAUUAAAAUACAAAAAACUAAAACAAAACAAUUAAAAAUCCCUCAUUCCCGUGACCGUGAGUAAGUGUAACAUAGCAAUUUAGCAAAACAAUUUAUAAUAUUAAUCUGUAACACAAAACCCCUAAAAUAUAAAUCCGUCACUUCUCACUCACAUCUCAGUUCUCAGUCACUGUUCUCGCCGCCGGAAGCCAACAGCAGCGAGCAUCUUCAGAUUCCAGCCGCGUCCAGCCAGCAUCAACCAUCAGCGACCCAUCGUCCAGCAGCAGCAGCAACAGAUUCCAGCAGCAGCAGCAGCAACAAAUUCCAGCAGCAGCAGCAUCAGCCACCGUCCAGCCACCCAGCAAGGCAGCAACAGCAUCUCUCGCGUGUCCAGCAGCGCCAUCAACCAUCAGCGACCCACCGUCCAGCAGCAGCAGCAACAGAUUCCAGCAGCAGCAGCAGCAGCAGCAUCAGCCACCGUCCAGCCACCCAGCAAGGCAGCAACAGCAUCUCUCGCGUGUCCAGCAGCGCCAUCAACCCUCAGCGACCCACCGUCCAGCAGCAGCAUCAGCCACCGUCCAGCCACCCAGCAAGGCAGCAACAGCAUCUCUCGCGUGUCCAGCAGCGCCUCCCAGUCUCCCACCCACCAGCACAGCCGCGCGAUUCCUCCCACCCACCAGUUUUUUGGAUUAGUUUUUUUUUUUUUUUAUAUUAGUGGUUGAUUACUUGAUUUGUACGUUGUGUAUGGUAUUUGUGAUGUUAGUAUUUUUAUAUUUUGUGUUGGUUAAUCAUGUAUUAGAGAAUUAUGUUUAAGUUUUUAGUCUAUUGUGUAGUAUUAUGUAUUGGAUAAUUAUGUUUUGAAAAUUUAUAGUUUUAUUAAUUUUUUUUUAAAAAUUCGUAAAAGCCCGGCCCAGGCCCGUUAAGGCCCGGCCCAGGCCCGUCAAAGCCCGGCCCGCCCAAAGCCCGCUCAUUUUGGAUGGACUUUAAGAGGGCCUGGACUUUUUAAAUAAGGUAUGGGCCUGGUCCUGGGCUUGGCAAAGCCCGGCCCAGGCCCUUAAAUUGCCAACCCUACUUGUAGUUGGUUCCAUGAUUUUUUUUUUCUUCCAAUCUUGACGUUUGGUAACCAUUUUCCGUUGACUCCUAUUAAUGUAAAAAUAUUUACCGUUGACUCCUGUAUUGAAUAUAUAAUAAACACAAGUAGAUUUGAGAUACCAUGAAUCCAUACAACAAUUUAAUAAUUCAUUCAUGAAUAUAUUCGGGUUGAAAACUAACAAAUAAGUGGAAAUAUUUUAACAUAAAAUUCACAUGUCAUAUUUUCAUUAGAUGAUUUUAUUAUCUAGUAUAUAUACUUUGGAUUUAAGAAAAAUAUCCGUAUUAUUUACUCUAAAGAACAUCAUGAAAAGACUUUUCAAAUAAUAUUGUUAAAGAGAAAAGAGUACUAUCUCAUU